CGUGUUUGUACGUGGGAUAAGUAGAAUUUUAUUACUUUUUCUUCGUCGAUGAACAGAUUAUUCAGCUAGAAUCCGCCGCGCGGAUUCGUUGGCCAUCGUUCCCAUUCAACGAUUUCGUACAGGAAGGAGAAUAAAAAUCUAUCCAUGAUAAAGGGUGCCGUCUCUCCCGCUUUCACGAGGCGACCAGCGGCCCGGUGUUCAAUCCUUCGAUGCCAUUUCUGACACAGCCAAUUUAUCUCCUCGCUCGAAACCGUCCAUCUAGAGAAGAAAAAAGAAAUGGACACGAUAUAUCUAUGGAAGGUUACGAGCAAGCGAAUUCGUCUUUCGUUGGAUCUUUAAGAAAAGUCGGUGAAUUUUUAUCGAGAAAAUCAUCAGCCUAGAAAAAAAAGAAAUAGACAGAUUUCUCUGAUACAUUUUGCUGGAUCUUCCAAGUAAACUCGAUAAAUUUUCGUGGAAAAAGUUGGAGGCAUUAAGGAAAGAGAGAAAGAAACGCGAGAUAUCUAUUUUUUAAGGAACGUUGCAAUACGACUUCUGACCGAGCAAGCUCGAAAUCACCUACCUAGAAAAAAAAGAAAUAGACACGCUUCGUAAUGCGUCUCUUCGUUUUUGUGCGUUGCGAAGGGCAAUUUGUUCAAUUUUAUCUCCUCUUGGACCCUGGGUCCAAGUAAACUCGGUGAAUUUUUAUCGAAAAAGGAAACGUUGAUCUAAAAAAAAAAAGAAAUAAUAAUAUACCUUUCUUCGUAACACAUUUCUUCGUUUUCGCGCGUUGCGAAUGUUGCAAUGCGAUUUCUGACCAAGCGAAUUUGUUCAAUUUUAUCUCCUCUUUCCUCCUGGACCCAAGAUCCAAGUAAACUCGAUGAAUUUUUAUCGAAAAAGCUGGAUCUAAAAAAAAAAAAAAAGAAAUAGACUAUCUAUUUUCCGUUUAAUCCUUCGUUCAAUCGGUCGGCCGCGAAAAAAAUACGCCCGAUGAUUAAUCCCCUGGAUGGGAAAUGGAGAGCGCGAAACGCUUUCGGCGCGGACCCGUGAAAACGGUUUCGGAAAACAGUGGAAACGGGCGGGGAUUGGAAGAAUCGUCAUUGAUUAGGAAUAAUUACCGUUAACGAGCGCGAUUAAAAGCCGUGGAGGCCUCCGCUCCGGUUUAUUAAAUGUAAACAGCCAUGUUUUUAACCAUCGUCCCCCGUCCGUUUCGUUUCGAAUCGGGAAUUUCUCCGCCCCGAAUAAUCACCGGAACUUGCGGAUUAUUUUAACCCGGCCGGGCCGGCCUGUUUGCUCAGCGCGCAUAAAUUAACGAAACGCCAAGUAAAAUGGGACGAUUCCGCGGCCGCAAAUUUCGCGCCGACCAAUUCUCCCCAGACUCCACCUGCAAUGUCGCUAAUUACCGAACGCGUUUCCAGGUUUCGGCGUUUCCGUCCGAGUCGAUUAACUCCUCUCCUCUUUUUCUCUGCUUUCCAGGGCAACGGUCGGACGCGUUAUCGCGCGGCGACGGACGCGUCCACUCGAUCCACCCGCGGCCAGUGGAAAUCUAUUAUCCUCGUAAAGUGACCAAGAUGUCAGGGACGCUUGAUGGAUGAGCGGUGAUUAAUUAUACAUCCCCUCCCCACGCUCCGGGUUUUCCCGAUGGUAAACACUGGACGAUCCUUCCUUCCUUCCUUCCACUGCCUCUUCUCAGCCGAGAACGUGGCCGUGCUCGUGCUGGACGACCGUUCCGAUUGACGUAUUAAUUUUCUAAAGUGGAUACGCGCGCGGGUGUAACAAACCCCCGACCACGUGCAAACGUGCUUCGAUCGAUCCUCGUUAAUCUCGAUAAUGGGGAU
This is a long non-coding RNA of Apis cerana (Asiatic honeybee), 1814 nucleotides long. RefSeq lists it as uncharacterized. Lineage: Eukaryota; Metazoa; Arthropoda; Insecta; Hymenoptera; Apidae. The record is from RefSeq and is a predicted model, not a curated record.